This 464-nucleotide ribosomal RNA is filed under the name uncultured bacterium. RNAcentral describes it as "SSU rRNA". It matches the Rfam family "Bacterial small subunit ribosomal RNA", at positions 26 to 518 of the family's 1533-position model. The record is from RNAcentral.
AGAAUCAACGCUGGCGGCGUGCCUAACACAUGCAAGUCGAACGAGAAAGUGGAGCAAUCCAUGAGUAAAGUGGCGACCGGGUGAGUAACACGUGACUAACCUACCCUACAGUGGGGGAUAACUCCGGGAAACCGGGGCUAAUACCGCAUAACAUCGUAAGAUCAAAGGAGCAAUUCGCUGAAGGAGGGGUCGCGGCUGAUUAGUUAGUUGGUGAGGUAACGGCUCGACCAAGACGAAGAUCAGUAGCCGGCCUGAGAGGGGCGCGACGGACCGACACCUGGAACUGAAACACGGUCCAGACUCCUACGGGAGGCAGCAGUGGGGAAUUUGCGCAAUGGGGGAAACCCUGACGCAGCAACGCCGCGUGGAGGAUGAAGUCCCUUGGGAUGUAAACUCCUUUCGAUCGGGACGAUUAUGACGGUACCGGAAGAAGAAGCACCGGCUAACUCUGUGCCAGCAGCCGC